RNAcentral lists this long non-coding RNA (208 nucleotides) under Elaeis guineensis (African oil palm). Its description in RNAcentral is "long non-coding RNA (EGUI_LNC024071)". The record is from RNAcentral. Lineage: Eukaryota; Viridiplantae; Streptophyta; Magnoliopsida; Arecales; Arecaceae.
AGUAGUUCAUCAGCAUCUUUCAACAUAUGAUUGAAAUCACUACUACCAGCUUCUGUAUCAUCCUCCAUAUCCUAGUUAAAUUCAGGACCAACCAUAUUCAUAACCAUAUCUACCAUUAUGUCUGUAUCCUUGUACUGCUAAGAACUUCUAACCCUUGCAAUUAUCUCUCACGUCUCUCCAUGUAGGUACCAAUAUUUGUAUUGUGGCA